GAGGAGUGGGAAUCAGAGUCCGAGUCAGAGUCGUCAAUGUGCUAAUCACCUUUGACUGAGAUGCGCUUUCCGCGGGACAUUGAUUCAUGAUUUGAUUGAUUCAUGCUCGCGACAGGCACGAUCCCAAGCGAAAGGUGAGAAAGGGGCACGUUUUCAUUUCACCAGGCCUCAACAGAGUGGAGGGAGCACUUCUCACUUUGGACUAUGUACGUCAUCGGUGGAUAUAGGUGGACCAAUUAUCACUUGGUUCGUCACACGCCUGAUCAGAUGCCUGUUGGUGUUUUCCUCGAUUAAUGCUUAAUUUGAUUUGAUUCGGCCAAAA
RNAcentral lists this long non-coding RNA (322 nucleotides) under Drosophila guanche. The record is from RNAcentral. Lineage: Eukaryota; Metazoa; Arthropoda; Insecta; Diptera; Drosophilidae.